This 4983-nucleotide long non-coding RNA is filed under the name Homo sapiens (human). RNAcentral's name for it is "metastasis associated lung adenocarcinoma transcript 1". The stretch from base 1906 to 2000 matches the Rfam family "Metastasis associated lung adenocarcinoma transcript 1". Lineage: Eukaryota; Metazoa; Chordata; Mammalia; Primates; Hominidae. The record is from RNAcentral.
UUUUUUUUUUUUACACGAAUUUGAGGAAAACCAAAUGAAUUUGAUAGCCAAAUUGAGACAAUUUCAGCAAAUCUGUAAGCAGUUUGUAUGUUUAGUUGGGGUAAUGAAGUAUUUCAGUUUUGUGAAUAGAUGACCUGUUUUUACUUCCUCACCCUGAAUUCGUUUUGUAAAUGUAGAGUUUGGAUGUGUAACUGAGGCGGGGGGGAGUUUUCAGUAUUUUUUUUUGUGGGGGUGGGGGCAAAAUAUGUUUUCAGUUCUUUUUCCCUUAGGUCUGUCUAGAAUCCUAAAGGCAAAUGACUCAAGGUGUAACAGAAAACAAGAAAAUCCAAUAUCAGGAUAAUCAGACCACCACAGGUUUACAGUUUAUAGAAACUAGAGCAGUUCUCACGUUGAGGUCUGUGGAAGAGAUGUCCAUUGGAGAAAUGGCUGGUAGUUACUCUUUUUUCCCCCCACCCCCUUAAUCAGACUUUAAAAGUGCUUAACCCCUUAAACUUGUUAUUUUUUACUUGAAGCAUUUUGGGAUGGUCUUAACAGGGAAGAGAGAGGGUGGGGGAGAAAAUGUUUUUUUCUAAGAUUUUCCACAGAUGCUAUAGUACUAUUGACAAACUGGGUUAGAGAAGGAGUGUACCGCUGUGCUGUUGGCACGAACACCUUCAGGGACUGGAGCUGCUUUUAUCCUUGGAAGAGUAUUCCCAGUUGAAGCUGAAAAGUACAGCACAGUGCAGCUUUGGUUCAUAUUCAGUCAUCUCAGGAGAACUUCAGAAGAGCUUGAGUAGGCCAAAUGUUGAAGUUAAGUUUUCCAAUAAUGUGACUUCUUAAAAGUUUUAUUAAAGGGGAGGGGCAAAUAUUGGCAAUUAGUUGGCAGUGGCCUGUUACGGUUGGGAUUGGUGGGGUGGGUUUAGGUAAUUGUUUAGUUUAUGAUUGCAGAUAAACUCAUGCCAGAGAACUUAAAGUCUUAGAAUGGAAAAAGUAAAGAAAUAUCAACUUCCAAGUUGGCAAGUAACUCCCAAUGAUUUAGUUUUUUUCCCCCCAGUUUGAAUUGGGAAGCUGGGGGAAGUUAAAUAUGAGCCACUGGGUGUACCAGUGCAUUAAUUUGGGCAAGGAAAGUGUCAUAAUUUGAUACUGUAUCUGUUUUCCUUCAAAGUAUAGAGCUUUUGGGGAAGGAAAGUAUUGAACUGGGGGUUGGUCUGGCCUACUGGGCUGACAUUAACUACAAUUAUGGGAAAUGCAAAAGUUGUUUGGAUAUGGUAGUGUGUGGUUCUCUUUUGGAAUUUUUUUCAGGUGAUUUAAUAAUAAUUUAAAACUACUAUAGAAACUGCAGAGCAAAGGAAGUGGCUUAAUGAUCCUGAAGGGAUUUCUUCUGAUGGUAGCUUUUGUAUUAUCAAGUAAGAUUCUAUUUUCAGUUGUGUGUAAGCAAGUUUUUUUUUAGUGUAGGAGAAAUACUUUUCCAUUGUUUAACUGCAAAACAAGAUGUUAAGGUAUGCUUCAAAAAUUUUGUAAAUUGUUUAUUUUAAACUUAUCUGUUUGUAAAUUGUAACUGAUUAAGAAUUGUGAUAGUUCAGCUUGAAUGUCUCUUAGAGGGUGGGCUUUUGUUGAUGAGGGAGGGGAAACUUUUUUUUUUUCUAUAGACUUUUUUCAGAUAACAUCUUCUGAGUCAUAACCAGCCUGGCAGUAUGAUGGCCUAGAUGCAGAGAAAACAGCUCCUUGGUGAAUUGAUAAGUAAAGGCAGAAAAGAUUAUAUGUCAUACCUCCAUUGGGGAAUAAGCAUAACCCUGAGAUUCUUACUACUGAUGAGAACAUUAUCUGCAUAUGCCAAAAAAUUUUAAGCAAAUGAAAGCUACCAAUUUAAAGUUACGGAAUCUACCAUUUUAAAGUUAAUUGCUUGUCAAGCUAUAACCACAAAAAUAAUGAAUUGAUGAGAAAUACAAUGAAGAGGCAAUGUCCAUCUCAAAAUACUGCUUUUACAAAAGCAGAAUAAAAGCGAAAAGAAAUGAAAAUGUUACACUACAUUAAUCCUGGAAUAAAAGAAGCCGAAAUAAAUGAGAGAUGAGUUGGGAUCAAGUGGAUUGAGGAGGCUGUGCUGUGUGCCAAUGUUUCGUUUGCCUCAGACAGGUAUCUCUUCGUUAUCAGAAGAGUUGCUUCAUUUCAUCUGGGAGCAGAAAACAGCAGGCAGCUGUUAACAGAUAAGUUUAACUUGCAUCUGCAGUAUUGCAUGUUAGGGAUAAGUGCUUAUUUUUAAGAGCUGUGGAGUUCUUAAAUAUCAACCAUGGCACUUUCUCCUGACCCCUUCCCUAGGGGAUUUCAGGAUUGAGAAAUUUUUCCAUCGAGCCUUUUUAAAAUUGUAGGACUUGUUCCUGUGGGCUUCAGUGAUGGGAUAGUACACUUCACUCAGAGGCAUUUGCAUCUUUAAAUAAUUUCUUAAAAGCCUCUAAAGUGAUCAGUGCCUUGAUGCCAACUAAGGAAAUUUGUUUAGCAUUGAAUCUCUGAAGGCUCUAUGAAAGGAAUAGCAUGAUGUGCUGUUAGAAUCAGAUGUUACUGCUAAAAUUUACAUGUUGUGAUGUAAAUUGUGUAGAAAACCAUUAAAUCAUUCAAAAUAAUAAACUAUUUUUAUUAGAGAAUGUAUACUUUUAGAAAGCUGUCUCCUUAUUUAAAUAAAAUAGUGUUUGUCUGUAGUUCAGUGUUGGGGCAAUCUUGGGGGGGAUUCUUCUCUAAUCUUUCAGAAACUUUGUCUGCGAACACUCUUUAAUGGACCAGAUCAGGAUUUGAGCGGAAGAACGAAUGUAACUUUAAGGCAGGAAAGACAAAUUUUAUUCUUCAUAAAGUGAUGAGCAUAUAAUAAUUCCAGGCACAUGGCAAUAGAGGCCCUCUAAAUAAGGAAUAAAUAACCUCUUAGACAGGUGGGAGAUUAUGAUCAGAGUAAAAGGUAAUUACACAUUUUAUUUCCAGAAAGUCAGGGGUCUAUAAAUUGACAGUGAUUAGAGUAAUACUUUUUCACAUUUCCAAAGUUUGCAUGUUAACUUUAAAUGCUUACAAUCUUAGAGUGGUAGGCAAUGUUUUACACUAUUGACCUUAUAUAGGGAAGGGAGGGGGUGCCUGUGGGGUUUUAAAGAAUUUUCCUUUGCAGAGGCAUUUCAUCCUUCAUGAAGCCAUUCAGGAUUUUGAAUUGCAUAUGAGUGCUUGGCUCUUCCUUCUGUUCUAACUUCACAGAGAAUGCAGUUGUCUUGACUUCAGGUCUGUCUGUUCUGUUGGCAAGUAAAUGCAGUACUGUUCUGAUCCCGCUGCUAUUAGAAUGCAUUGUGAAACGACUGGAGUAUGAUUAAAAGUUGUGUUCCCCAAUGCUUGGAGUAGUGAUUGUUGAAGGAAAAAAUCCAGCUGAGUGAUAAAGGCUGAGUGUUGAGGAAAUUUCUGCAGUUUUAAGCAGUCGUAUUUGUGAUUGAAGCUGAGUACAUUUUGCUGGUGUAUUUUUAGGUAAAAUGCUUUUUGUUCAUUUCUGGUGGUGGGAGGGGACUGAAGCCUUUAGUCUUUUCCAGAUGCAACCUUAAAAUCAGUGACAAGAAACAUUCCAAACAAGCAACAGUCUUCAAGAAAUUAAACUGGCAAGUGGAAAUGUUUAAACAGUUCAGUGAUCUUUAGUGCAUUGUUUAUGUGUGGGUUUCUCUCUCCCCUCCCUUGGUCUUAAUUCUUACAUGCAGGAACACUCAGCAGACACACGUAUGCGAAGGGCCAGAGAAGCCAGACCCAGUAAGAAAAAAUAGCCUAUUUACUUUAAAUAAACCAAACAUUCCAUUUUAAAUGUGGGGAUUGGGAACCACUAGUUCUUUCAGAUGGUAUUCUUCAGACUAUAGAAGGAGCUUCCAGUUGAAUUCACCAGUGGACAAAAUGAGGAAAACAGGUGAACAAGCUUUUUCUGUAUUUACAUACAAAGUCAGAUCAGUUAUGGGACAAUAGUAUUGAAUAGAUUUCAGCUUUAUGCUGGAGUAACUGGCAUGUGAGCAAACUGUGUUGGCGUGGGGGUGGAGGGGUGAGGUGGGCGCUAAGCCUUUUUUUAAGAUUUUUCAGGUACCCCUCACUAAAGGCACCGAAGGCUUAAAGUAGGACAACCAUGGAGCCUUCCUGUGGCAGGAGAGACAACAAAGCGCUAUUAUCCUAAGGUCAAGAGAAGUGUCAGCCUCACCUGAUUUUUAUUAGUAAUGAGGACUUGCCUCAACUCCCUCUUUCUGGAGUGAAGCAUCCGAAGGAAUGCUUGAAGUACCCCUGGGCUUCUCUUAACAUUUAAGCAAGCUGUUUUUAUAGCAGCUCUUAAUAAUAAAGCCCAAAUCUCAAGCGGUGCUUGAAGGGGAGGGAAAGGGGGAAAGCGGGCAACCACUUUUCCCUAGCUUUUCCAGAAGCCUGUUAAAAGCAAGGUCUCCCCACAAGCAACUUCUCUGCCACAUCGCCACCCCGUGCCUUUUGAUCUAGCACAGACCCUUCACCCCUCACCUCGAUGCAGCCAGUAGCUUGGAUCCUUGUGGGCAUGAUCCAUAAUCGGUUUCAAGGUAACGAUGGUGUCGAGGUCUUUGGUGGGUUGAACUAUGUUAGAAAAGGCCAUUAAUUUGCCUGCAAAUUGUUAACAGAAGGGUAUUAAAACCACAGCUAAGUAGCUCUAUUAUAAUACUUAUCCAGUGACUAAAACCAACUUAAACCAGUAAGUGGAGAAAUAACAUGUUCAAGAACUGUAAUGCUGGGUGGGAACAUGUAACUUGUAGACUGGAGAAGAUAGGCAUUUGAGUGGCUGAGAGGGCUUUUGGGUGGGAAUGCAAAAAUUCUCUGCUAAGACUUUUUCAGGUGAACAUAACAGACUUGGCCAAGCUAGCAUCUUAGCGGAAGCUGAUCUCCAAUGCUCUUCAGUAGGGUCAUGAAGGUUUUUCUUUUCCUGAGAAAACAACACGUAUUGUUUUCUCAGGUUUUGCUUUUUGGCCUUUUUCUAGCUUAAAAAAAAAAAAA